RNAcentral lists this ribosomal RNA (402 nucleotides) under uncultured bacterium. Its description in RNAcentral is "bacterial SSU rRNA". It matches the Rfam family "Bacterial small subunit ribosomal RNA", at positions 355 to 774 of the family's 1533-position model. The record is from RNAcentral.
UGGGGAAUCUUGCACAAUGGGGGAAACCCUGAUGCAGCGACGCCGCGUGAGCGAUGAAGCCCUUCGGGGUGUAAAGCUCUUUCGGCAGGGAAGAUGAUGACGGUACCUGCAGAAGCAGCUGCGGCUAACUACGUGCCAGCAGCCGCGGUAAAACGUAGGAGACAAGCGUUAUCCGGAGUUACUGGGCGUAAAGGGCGUGCAGGUGGCGUCUUAAGUCUGUUGUGAAAGCGCCUGGCUUAACCGGGCGAGGCCAAUGGAGACUGAGAGGCUGGAGGACGGCGGAGGGGUGUGGAAUUCCGGGUGUAGUGGUGAAAUGCGUAGAGAUCCGGAGGAACACCAGAGGCGAAGGCGGCACUCUAAGCCGUACCUGACACUGAGACGCGACAGCACGGGGAGCAAACG